AGCGGCGGACGGGUGAGUAACACGUGGAUAACCUACCUAUAAGACUGGGAUAACUUCGGGAAACCGGAGCUAAUACCGGAUAAUAUUUUGAACCGCAUGGUUCAAAAGUGAAAGACGGUCUUGCUGUCACUUAUAGAUGGAUCCGCGCUGCAUUAGCUAGUUGGUAAGGUAACGGCUUACCAAGGCAACGAUGCAUAGCCGACCUGAGAGGGUGAUCGGCCACACUGGAACUGAGACACGGUCCAGACUCCUACGGGAGGCAGCAGUAGGGAAUCUUCCGCAAUGGGCGAAAGCCUGACGGAGCAACGCCGCGUGAGUGAUGAAGGUCUUCGGAUCGUAAAACUCUGUUAUUAGGGAAGAACAUAUGUGUAAGUAACUGUGCACAUCUUGACGGUACCUAAUCAGAAAGCCACGGCUAACUACGUGCCAGCAGCCGCGGUAAUACGUAGGUGGCAAGCGUUAUCCGGAAUUAUUGGGCGUAAAGCGCGCGUAGGCGGUUUUUUAAGUCUGAUGUGAAAGCCCACGGCUCAACCGUGGAGGGUCAUUGGAAACUGGAAAACUUGAGUGCAGAAGAGGAAAGUGGAAUUCCAUGUGUAGCGGUGAAAUGCGCAGAGAUAUGGAGGAACACCAGUGGCGAAGGCGACUUUCUGGUCUGUAACUGACGCUGAUGUGCGAAA
This 677-nucleotide ribosomal RNA is filed under the name Staphylococcus aureus. Its description in RNAcentral is "bacterial SSU rRNA". It matches the Rfam family "Bacterial small subunit ribosomal RNA", at positions 94 to 758 of the family's 1533-position model. The record is from RNAcentral. Lineage: Bacteria; Bacillati; Bacillota; Bacilli; Caryophanales; Staphylococcaceae.